RNAcentral lists this ribosomal RNA (517 nucleotides) under uncultured microorganism. RNAcentral's name for it is "bacterial SSU rRNA". It matches the Rfam family "Bacterial small subunit ribosomal RNA", at positions 9 to 524 of the family's 1533-position model. The record is from RNAcentral.
GAGUUUGAUCGUGGCUCAGGAUGAACGCUGGCGGCGUGCUUAACACAUGCAAGUCGAGCGGAGCACAUCAUUGGAAUCCUUCGGGAGGAAGAGGAUGUGGCUUAGCGGCGGACGGGUGAGUAACGCGUGGACAACCUGCCCUAUGCAGGGGGAUAACAUCCGGAAACGGGUGCUAAUACCGCAUAAGCGCACAGUACCGCAUGGUACAGUGUGAAAAGCUGAGGCGGCAUAGGACGGGUCCGCGUUGGAUUAGGCAGUUGGCGGGGUAACGGCCCACCAAACCGACGAUCCAUAGCCGGCCUGAGAGGGUGGACGGCCACAUUGGGACUGAGACACGGCCCAGACUCCUACGGGAGGCAGCAGUGGGGAAUAUUGCACAAUGGGGGGAACCCUGAUGCAGCGACGCCGCGUGGGUGAGGAAGUACCUUCGGUAUGUAAAGCCCUAUCAGCAGGGAAGAAAAUGACGGUACCUGACUAAGAACGCCCGGACUAACUACAUGCCAGCCGCCGCCGUAAG